GCCCGUGUGGCGGAAUGGUAGACGCGAUAGACUCAAAAUCUGUUACUCAUUCGGGUGUGGGGGUUCAAGUCCCUCCACGGGCACCA
This 86-nucleotide transfer RNA is filed under the name Holosporaceae bacterium. RNAcentral describes it as "tRNA-Leu". It matches the Rfam family "tRNA". Rfam says of the family: Transfer RNA (tRNA) molecules are approximately 80 nucleotides in length. Their secondary structure includes four short double-helical elements and three loops (D, anti-codon, and T loops). Further hydrogen bonds mediate the characteristic L-shaped molecular structure. tRNAs have two regions of fundamental functional importance: the anti-codon, which is responsible for specific mRNA codon recognition, and the 3' end, to which the tRNAs corresponding amino acid is attached (by aminoacyl-tRNA synthetases). tRNAs cope with the degeneracy of the genetic code in two manners: having more than one tRNA (with a specific anti-codon) for a particular amino acid; and 'wobble' base-pairing, i.e. permitting non-standard base-pairing at the 3rd anti-codon position. Lineage: Bacteria; Pseudomonadati; Pseudomonadota; Alphaproteobacteria; Holosporales; Holosporaceae. The record is from RNAcentral.